This 7711-nucleotide long non-coding RNA is filed under the name Ricinus communis (castor bean). Its description in RNAcentral is "long non-coding RNA (RCOM_LNC000109)". Lineage: Eukaryota; Viridiplantae; Streptophyta; Magnoliopsida; Malpighiales; Euphorbiaceae. The record is from RNAcentral.
AACUUCUGCCAGUCAAUCGGUACUUUCAAGUCUUGAUUCCUUGCCAAAAUCUCGACAGUAGAAGCUAAAAUCCUAUCAUCGGGGUAAAGUUGAGGUUGUUUCUGAGCCCAACAGAAGGUCUGCAGAGCUCUAUCAGGAAAACCCAUAUGACCCAACUCUCGAAUUGUUAAAGACAAGGACCCUUUACGCAAGAAACGAGCACAAUCAUCAAGAACCGCAGAAACAUCAUCAUCUGGGUUAAGACAUUUAAUCUGCUUGGCUAAACUGAUAAGAAAACUUGGAUUUUUGUAUACUUUAUUGCAUAUAGGUGACCGUAAAGAGACUACAACAUUUCUAUUGUGUUUCUUUNNNCAUUUCUAUUGUGUUUCUUUGGAGAAGGAGGUCCUAGAGGUCUUAGCUUGUGAGGAAGUGGGAGUGAGAGGGGCCUUUCUCUAUUCAAAUUCCCUGGCUUUUGAGGGAUUCUCCCUUGAAAAAAGAGAUGAUAUUGCUUCAAUCUCAUCUGAUUCCAAAACAACCAUUUUGUUCUUUUUCUUCUUGAUUCAAAUCACCGCACCAUCAUCAACUAGAAAUGAAUCCAUUUGGAGGGGGUCAACGCCAGCUGUUGGCUUUUUAAGGAAUAAGUUAACCCCAAAAUCAGGAGGAAGCUUGGAUCGUCGAGUAGAUUGAAGGGCUUUAGGGAGUUUUCUUUUCUGUAGUAUGUUUUUGUAUUGGAAAGGGACAUCAAAGUUAAAUUUCUACAAAGUUAAAUUUAUGGGACAGAGGCUUAUGGACAAGAAUUUGGAGACCAUUUUCUUUGUAAUAGAAGUAAAAAAUAUCAAGACGUGUACUUUUUAGGCAUUGCAGCGGCUAAAUUAGUGCUUCUGAGGUAUUGCAGCAGUGAAGAUUGGCAGUGGAAUGACAAAUAGAGAUUUCGUCGAACACUCGGUGUGCUUUCUAAGCAAUUGGUCGCUUCCAGAGAAAAGGAUGAUUAAAAACAUUUUACCAAAUAAUGAUCCCACACAACAAAACAUCAUCAGUCUAAUACGAGGACAAAGAAAAGGAUAAGAAGCAGAUGACAGCUGAAAGCCUGAAUGAAUAAACAGGUAAUAGCCACCUUUUUUGCAGCUCUUCCAAGUCUAAGCAUGCCAGAACAUUCUAAUCGCUCUUAUUUUCAAUCUACAUUUUCAAUGUUAUCAUUCUAAAUGAAAGUGUGCAAAUUAGGAAAUUAAAAAUGUAACAUACUAUAAAACUGUGGUUUUUAACCUAAAAAAUUGACACUGAUCUGUACAAAAAUCUUCUCCUACAGUUUCUGAUGUUGUGAAUCAUUUGAAGAAAUAUACUGAGCAAGCCACCCUAACUCCAACACGCCACCUGAAUUCUUAUUCUUUUGGUGGAUAAAUGUUCAUACCUACACUGUGCUAUCCAGCAUGUUUAUUAAAAUAUACCCAUCAUCACAGCUGUAAUGCUAAAUCCGGCUGCUGUGGUGAACCAAUUGGCACACUGGAACUAGGUGAAUUUGGUGCCAAGAACCCAACAUUCAGAUCUGGUGGAAAUUGGAAAAAUUGUUCUUGGUGAUAUGAUGAUGAUACUCUGUGCCAAGAUGGUUUGCCAUCAACCCCUGCAUUCAAAAAUGUCUGAGAGUCCAGGUUAGAACCUAGAGCUGAUGAAUCUCCUGACUGUAGCAACCCAUUCCAAGUUUCUGAUAACUUGGCUUUGUUCAAACUACAAUCAUUCCCUGGCAUUGGGCAGAGAGUACUAGUGCUAGUUGAAACCAUGCCAAACACUUGAGAAGGAACUGCAGCAUGUUCUGUACUGGCCUUCCCUGUUGGUAUCCCAACUCUUCCGGUCCCAGUAUGAGGUGAACAAUUAUUAUAUCGCAACCCACCACUCAGUCCAUUGAUAUCAGAAUGAAUUAUGGGCUUCUGUUGAACCAGGACAGAAGACAUAUAGUUUAUCCCACCAGUACUACUGUUUGUUGAAAUUAAUUCACUCUGGGAACUUAUUUUGCCAACAUUUUCCAUCCAGUCUUCUCUAGUGCGAGCUGAACAUCUACUUGUGACUGCAGAGUUUGUGCCUGUAGCAGUAGGCUGAGGUCUGCUAAAAUGAUCAUUAAAUAUGGAACUGUUAGAAACUUUCGGCCUAUCAGAAAACUGAAACUUCUGCUGUCCGUCAACCACCUUAUCUUCUCCCACCCAGCCAGGACCAAACUCGAGUCCUGUUGGCAAUGCACUUUCUAUUUUCUUUGAAGCAAUUUUCCAAACAACGGGCCCAAGAUCUGCAGCAAAGCGAGCUAGACUUCUUGCAUAACCAUAUUCUGAGUUUAAACCUACCUUAUGUAUAUCAAAAACAAAUAGAAUCAGGUUGAGAAAGACAUCCACUGUCAUUAAAUAGCAAUUAAAUUUGAUAAUAUUGAUUCUGGUAGGUAGUGUCAUUCAAUUACCACAAUGAUGCACCAGACUAAGUAACAUGAAGAUUUCAGGUUUUUAAAAAAUGUCUCAACAACUAUCUUUUUACAGCUAAGAAUAUGAUGUAAAUCUAAAAGCUGCAUCCUGUCGUAUAUGAUUCCUAACCAUACAAUUUUAUUAAAAAGGAGCGCAAACCAAUGCAUAGAAUACCAGCUUCCAGCGCAGGAGAGCAGAAUAAAUAAAAAACACUAGGAACCUUUUUACAUACCGCCACCAGUUGCUUCAGUUCUCCUUCAAAAAAAUUCAAGCUGGAUGGUUCAGGAGUGGAAGCCAAUGGCUGCUUAUAGGUAUCACGCCUAUUCUCAUCUACUGCAUAGGGUUUCUUCCCAUACUUGAGCACAGCCUUUAAAACAGAAGCUGCAAGCCAAGAGAAAAUAAAUAUUAAAAGUCAUCGGAUGAUGCUGGGAAAUCAAAGUGAUCAUAUUAUAUACAUUUAAAGAAAAAAUGGGAGUUGAUAUUCCAAUUGAAAUGGCAAACCUGGAAAUUCAUUUUCCCAUUCAGACAUCCAGGCAGCAUAAGUUUCACUGCUGUGAGACCCAUGAGAAGUUCUGACCAGAACAUCUGCAGGUCGAUACUUGUAUGAAUUGGUUCUUCUAAGAUUAUAACCAUUAGUCUCAUUGGUGUUAUCCCCUCCAAAAGCAUGAGUUGCAUCUGAUGAACAAUCAGGACUAACACGGUCCAAGGGAGACCUCUCAAGUGAUUUUUUCAGCUUCCCUGGCGGUCUUCCCCUCCUGGCAACAUUGGGUUGGGGUUCACCAUCGUCACUAUCUUGCCUCAAGUUUUCAAAGUCCUUCUUGGCAAGCUCUUGUAUGGAUCGUGCCUAAAUAAGAAAUAUAACUGUUAAACAAAUGCACAAGCAAACCUUGGGGAAAGCAAAAUAAAACAAGGUACCCAACCAAACCUGUCGGUAGUAAAUAGUAUCCGAGGGGUUAUACUGCAUUGCAUUUGAACAUAUCAGGAAAACAUCUUUCUGCAAAAAAUACCAUAGCUCUCAGUUUAAAAAAUAGAUCGACGUCAACUAACAUAGCAAACAAGCAUUUUUUAAGCUGCAAUGAUAAAAAAAGACAGCCCUGCCUAUCCGAAGAAAACCUCACAUUGACUUUAACAUCCUGCCUAUCCAGAAACAAACAUAGCCCUUCUUACCCACCUGGCAGUCCACUCUCAACCCAAUUCAAGUACUUACCAAAUGCAGCUAUCGGUCUUGGUUUGCAAUUCAUUGCCUUUAGAACAAGAAACAUACUAACAUUCAGUUUUGAGAUCGAUCCUUUUAUAUUUAUCACCUAUUGUCGACUGGUCAUUAGUGAUCGAGUGAAUGCAAAAAACCAACCGGACUUUCUGCUAUUAGCCAAUUGCAUACUGAGGACACCCAUCAUUCUUUAUCUUAAGCAAGAGAUCAUGGGGUACAAUGUAUGGGUGUUGAUUGCAAAAUUUGGUAUGCUGCAUACUGAUGUUAUAGAUCUAUACACUAUUAGAGACAAAAUUAAGAAACUUCUGCCUUCAUAAGAAUCACAACAAUCAACUCAAACAUAAAUGCAAAUAAAACCUUCAUUAAAUGCAAGUCCAUUUCGAAAAUGUUGUUAAAUGUUGUAAGAAAUAUGAAGAGUGCCUGAAGGUCAAUUUACAGCAAUGAUGCAAUUAAUAGACGGUUUAUACUUUGUAACUAAGUUUCAACUUUCAAAGGAAACAUCUACAUAGUGAAUUAGUAAUCUGGCAACAAUAUCAAAGAGUACCUCCUUCUCUCUUCUCCCUUGUCUAGUAUCCAGUCAAAUAGAGACGUAUUUCGAACACCUUGUAUGGUUACGAGUUAAAUUCAAGAGAGGGAAAAUAUACAUCAACUGGAAAGUUUCCAUAUAUAUCAAAAGAACUAAACUACAACAGAAUUUUGAGUUCCCUAUCUCUCACAGGCUCCCACAACAUGGGCUCAAAUGGUUACUGAAUCAACUCAAUUGAAAAAAUUUACUUCAUAAAUCCAAAUUAACGACGCAUAGGCCACAAACCAACCUCAAAUUGUUCCAAGUUGAAAUAAGCUCCCCUGUCUAGCUUUUUCCUCACGGUGGAGAAGUCCAUGGGAUGCUCAACGAUGUCAUGGUAAUCAGGAAGCUGUAUUAAAAUCAGUUCAAUAUCACAAUAGUAUAUGUGAUUAGUUACUGCACUCAAAUGCAUUACUGGCAAAGAAAAAAAUUGCAUACCUCUUCAGGAUCCACUGGAUCAGAGAACACACCAUAAGUGUCCUUUCUGCAAGGAGUUGGUUAGAGCAAGUCGAUCAAAAAACAAUUGAAAGCAAGCCCGUGACCUAGUUAGGGGGAGGGAGGGAAUGAAAAAAGAAUAAAUAAAUCUAAGCAAUUAGAACAUCAACCCACUUUUGAAGCCUGUCAAGAAUGAAGACCAACAACUUUUUGUCUGGCAAAGGUGUAGUGGGGCCAGGCUCCACCGGUGACUCUGUAGAUAUAUAUAAAUAACACAGUUUCAAUUAAUUACUACUAAAAACUUUCUAAAAGAAAUAUCCUUCCAGAGAAUUCUUGUUCAAUACCUUGAAGAGUGUCUGUCGCUUUCAAAGCCUUUUCACCCUGCAAAUGAAUUAGUCCAACAUAAAUGAUACAAAAUUACCCAUACAAAACAAAAAUAAAAAGAAAAGAAAAAAGAAAACAAAUUGUUGGUAUCUAAUUAUUUUUUUGGUUACAAGUAUCUUGAGUGAUUAUUGAAGAGAAAGUUACAGUAAAAGUUUUUGAGAAGUACGAGAAUUUUUUAAAGAAAAGACAAAACAAAACUUUUUCAGACAAGAUGUCUGUGCUUCUAUUAUUCUGGGCACAUCAAGACCAGAUUUAAUACAAAGAAUCAAAUAUAAUAAAAUAUUUAUUUAUUAAUGAAAAAUCUAAUUAAGAAAAGAAAAAAGCUGAAACCACAAAACAAAACCCCACCCGUUCCUAGAUUUCCCCAAAACAAUAAGUUCAUAUAAUUAACAUCCAACAAAGGAAAUAACUUGACCGCGUCAAAUUCGAUCUAACACUUCAAAAAAAAAAAAACUCUUUAAAGAACGCACGAAAAUCUAAAAAAAGUAUUCAAAUCUCAUUUAAGUUAAAUAAAACAAACUUAUUCUUGAUAAAAAAAAAAAGGUGAAACGAAACGCGGGUUAAUGCACUGGAUUUAAGAUAAAAAUUGAAAUGGUUGGAAGCAGAGAAUCUAAAAAUUAUCACCAAUUGAUCAGAUCCGGGGGUGAUCUUGCGCCUUUUGAGAGCGACCUCGGAAUUGUUCAAUCCAAGCAAAAGCUUAUGCUUUUUCUGAGUGCGUUCGUCGUCUUCGUCGUUAAUUAAGUCGGGGACACUGGAGUUAGGGUUACGGUGAUUGGAUCGACGGUGGUGAGAGGAAGGGUAAGAGACAUUGAGCGAAUUAGGGUUUUUGAGAUUAGGGGUUUGUUGUUGUUGUUGUUGUUGUUUGAGAGAGCGUUUUUGGAGGUCUAAUAGAGAAGGACGUCCCUUCUUCUUUUUCUUCUUCGUCAUUGUGCCUGCUUCUAUCUCUCCCAUUCUUCCCCCCCCCCCUUCUUCUUCUUUUGGUGUUUUCUCCUUCUCUCCCCAGACAUGCGUUAAAUUAUUUUUAUUUUUAUUUUUUAUUCUAUUGUGUCUUAUUGUUUUUCUUUUAUUGCUUUUCUUUAAUUUUCUUUUUUUUAUUAAUAUUGAGGAAGUGUGGGUUUGGUACGUACGGUUCGCCUGCUAAUGCGGAGAGGAACUAAGUCACGUGAUUUAAAUAAAAGAACUCUUUCAUUUUCUGUUUUAUUAAAUAAAUUAACAAAUAAUUUAAUUAUAAUCACAUCACAUCAUAAAUCACAAGCGGUUUGAUCACUUGUAAUACUUGAAAAAAUUUCCAUUAGAUCAUACUUUUCUUUUUAAUUAGUUGAAAUCUAAAGAAUCAAAAAAAAUUAUUUAUAAAGAAAAAGGAAAGUAAACUGGCAAAGGUUCAUGUCCUGUAUCUUUAUAUGCUUGAAUUCAGCCCUUACGUAAUGUGAGUUUUCAGAUCAAAUAAAUCAUACAUAACUACUUAUAACAGAAGACAAUUCAAAAUGGAAUAUUAAUCUAAGGUGCCAAGGAUGCUGCAACAGUAGUGCAUAUACAAUUCAGAAUGGAACUCCAACUCUCCAAAGAGAAUUCUUUUUUGCUAGAACCAGCAGCACAAAAUGGACCUUUGUACAAGAAAAGUAACAAUGAAAAAUUGGAUAAAUAAAUGAGGAAGUCGAUAGCAAUGAUAUUUCUAGAGAAUCAAUUAACUCAUUCAUAUGCGAACCAGAUUAUAAUGGAAUCAUAUCAUUUCCUAAGUUGUCUAAAAAAAGCAAGAAUCUUCAGAACCCUGACCUUAUUUCUUUCUCCUGAUGCAACAAGUCCAUUUUAAUUUGUUCAUCCAACUUGAAUCCUGCCAUCUCUGCUUCCUUCCAAAUCUCCUUGCACUUCGCCAGCCUCCCAGAAACCAAGUAAAUUUUAAUCAAGUUCCUAUAUAUGUCAUAUGUUGGAGACAAACCCGCUUCCUUAAGUUUCGAAAAAUAUCUUACAGCCCUUGGGAGAUCAUUCAAGGCAACAAAUAGCUUUAUAACAACCCGAUAAGCUGGAAGAUCAAAGAGAAAACUUGAACCCUCCAUUUCCCAAACCCCAGCCAAUGCUUCCCUGUAUUUCUUUUCCGAAUAACGGCUGUGAAUCAGGGUAGUGUACAUAACCACACUUGGCUCAUGCCCAGAUUGCUUAAACCAAGUGAAUAGACACUCCACAAACUCAAACUUUUGGAGCCUAAUGCAAACUUUCAUUAUAGCAGUACAAUCCUGAUGGCUUAAAUUCAAAUCUUCUCUUUCCCCGAGCUCAUCUAACAACUGUUCAACAAGCAUGUACUUAUCCGGAUUCUUUCCCAGCUCAAGUAUCAACCUUGCAUACAGACUAGCGUCUAACAUUCUCUUAUCGUGCUUGGCAACAGCGAGAAGCUUCCAAGCAAGCUUCAAGCGUCCACCUUUAAGGAAACCUCGAAUCAUUGCUUCGAUAACACCCCUACUUGCCAAACUAGUAAACUUCUGCCAGUCAAUCGGUACUUUCAAGUCUUGAUUCCUUGCCAAAAUCUCGACAGUAGAAGCUAAAAUCCUAUCAUCGGGGUAAAGUUGAGGUUGUUUCUGAGCCCAACAGAAGGUCUGCAGAGCUCUAUCAGGAAAACCCAUAUGACCCAACUCUCGAAUUGUUAAAGACAAGGACCCUUUACGCAAGAAACGAGCACAAUCAUCAAGAACCGCAGAAACAUCA